GAGAGGCAGACACAUCUUUCUCUCUCUCUCUCUCUCUCUCUCUCUCUCUCUCUCUCUCUCUCUCACACACACACACACACACACACACACACACACACAGAGAGAUAGAGAUAGAGAUGGAGGGAGAGAGAGAGGGAGGGAGGGGGAGAGAGAGAGAAAUUGAGAUGUAUU
This 171-nucleotide microRNA precursor is filed under the name Marmota monax (woodchuck). The record is from RNAcentral. Lineage: Eukaryota; Metazoa; Chordata; Mammalia; Rodentia; Sciuridae.